Molecule: non-coding RNA, 2657 nt
Organism: Lolium perenne
Lineage: Eukaryota; Viridiplantae; Streptophyta; Magnoliopsida; Poales; Poaceae
Source: RefSeq, a predicted model, not a curated record
GCAAAAUUCGAACAGACUUUCCCGACCCAAAUCAACUCCUCUCCCGCACCUACCUCUCUGUCGCGACCUUGGUUCCUCGGUCCCCGAUGCCCGCCGUCUCUCGCCGUCGUGCCGUCCAACGCCGCCGCAUCCUCCGCCUCCACGCACUGAGCAAGCUUCUUCGUAGGCCCCUCCACCGGAUACCUACCAGCGCCCCGCCUUUCUGCCCCCGAGUGCGGCGUGGCGGCUAACCCUAGGUGUGGGGUUCGGCACGGUCGCCGCCGCGGUACCGCGCCGCCGCUCCCAUCGACGAAAUCGAAGCUUCCAGACCCCACGCACGCGGCGGCGACCCGCGCCGGGAGCGGAGGGCAUGGCGGAGCCGCGGAGGGUCUCGUUCCGGGACGGCCGCCUCGCGUCGCGGAAGGCGGAGGAGGCUGCAUGGAGACGGCACCAGGCUGCAGCCACGAGCAUCGUCCAUUCCCAUCGACGAUGAGGGGCACGCAUCAUCUGGUUUUGAAGAACAGUAAGCAUUGCAGAGCGUGCUGAUGGCUUUGAUCAGCAUUUCAGAGGUAAUAGUAGUUUCGUUGUCUCCUUUGCUAGCAUUCUUCCAAGUGAAAGGGAAGCAACGUGGGUUCAUCAGUAGCGGUCGAUGAGACAUUGUCUUGUUCAUACUUCUGAGUGCAAUCGGGCACACGGAGUACUAUGGAUUAACUGUAUCGAUAUUGCCGGAAAGGGUGUUGAUUGAAAGGGUUGGAAAUGUCACCACCUUCUUGCCUUGUUCAGGGUCCUCCUAGAGGGGACACCACAUGGGUGACUUCGUUCCUCAGGAAGAACUUGAGAAGUUCAUGGCACGUUGUACUGAUCCUGCAGCACAAAAGGCUACCAAAGAAGCUGCGAGAAGGCUAAGAUUCAAGCUGACAAUAUUGGGCACACGCUUCUGUCUAAGAUGGGCCGGAGGGAAGGUUAGUCCUUGAAUACUUGAUACCAGAGUUCCACUUCUCUAGUAAAUGCCUUUUGGCAUUAUAGAAUCUUACUUAACCUAUUGGAUAUUUGGUAUACCUGACAAGGUUGGUUGGAAAGCACAUUUACAAACUCGUGUAGGAUGAUUUACUUGUCUAGUUGCACAUAUGAGCAGUUUCUAAAUGUUGCUUCAUUUCAUACUGAAAUUGGUCCUACUGUUAGGGGUGCAAGCGGCGUCCCUCAAACAACCCCGCCAAACCAAAAUUAGGCAAAAAACGUGUGUGCUGCAAUGGCUAGAUAAAAAGCUGAAUUAGGCAAAAGCAUCUGCCUGCAUCCUGUGCCCUACCUACUGUUGCUCUCUGUCUUUCUUAUCUUAUCUUUUGAAACUGCAUAAUCUGUAUUUGUCAUUUGAGUAGGACAGUGCCUAUUUGGCCUAUGUCCACAAGUUCAUAAACAAUCAAAUUGCUUGAUUUGUUUUUAAAUUUCUAAACCAACUUAGCUGGAGAGUGCCUUAACCUGUACGUAGUUGCUUGGACAUAAAUAAACUCUAAGUGCAGUCACUAUAAAUACCACUCUAAAACUCAAGUGGUAGUGACAGGAUACUUGUGUCAAACCUGACACAACAUGUACUUGGUGUAUUUAUGCAGUACAUAAAGAGUGGAACAGAAAUGGAUGUUACUGCAUUCCCCUUGAAAUCAACUGGGUACAGUAAUACUGAUAGGUAAUUUUUAUCUGUUGUACCCAUCAGUGACUAGCAGUCAUCAGUAUGUUUGCGUUACUGUUUGUGCUAAAGCUUUUCCAUAGAAGCUGCCAUUGUUAUCAUGUUGUAGGUUCAAGAUUGAUAAUCUCCUUACCUUGUUUCAUUUGCAUGCAGCACAUUUGUAUUAAUCAUAAUUCACUGAUUUUUUCACAUGUGUUAUGUUGAAAUUGCAGUGUCAUUGAUAAGAUUGAAGGCAAGGUAUAAAUGAUGCUUCGUUGCUUAAAGUCUACUACUAUAUACUUUUUCCUAUAGAACCCAAUUUUCUAUAAUGCACGACCUACUUUUUAGCCACUUUAAACAUGCAUGGGUUAAUCUCUUCAACGAGCAUGGUUAAGCUAACCCCCUAAUUCUUAUUCAUGUGCUCAGAGCCUUAACUGUCUAAUAACACAUCUCUGUUGAGCUUUUGCUCUCUAUAUACAUUUCGAUACGAGGUAUUGUUACAGGAUAAAAGUAAUUAUUCUUUAAGCCAUUAUGUUUAGUUUUGGCCUAUUACCUGUGUAGAACCAACUAAUAUUUAGUUGCUACAAAUGAUUUUAUUUUGUACUCUAAUAUCUUUCCUGUAAUAGGCUCCAUAAAGCUUUUGACCUACUGAAUUUGUAAGUGCGAAUAUUAGACGAUUUUCUUCACAUUAUUGCUGCAAUUGGAUUUUAUUUUCGCAAUGGGUAAUAUAUCUACUUCCCUGGUAUAAGGAACAUAACUACUUCUGUGUUUAGUCUGUUUAUUCUAGAUGUGAUGGUAGGAUGCUGACAUUGGAGGAACAAGCAAGCGAAUCGGGAACAAAGAACCUUGUUGGUCAGACAAGUAAGAUGGAAGCCAGUUAGAUGAACCAUGUUAGAUGAACCUUGUUGUGUAUUUUAUCUAAUGGUUUCAAACCAUGUUGUUCAUGAUGUGGCGAUGAACACUGUUGGUCAUGGAAGUUAAUUAGAUGCAUGGAUUGUGAAUCCUUGAAUGUUUCAAA